Molecule: ribosomal RNA, 1846 nt
Filed under: Escherichia coli
Lineage: Bacteria; Pseudomonadati; Pseudomonadota; Gammaproteobacteria; Enterobacterales; Enterobacteriaceae
Description: partial 23S ribosomal RNA
Rfam family: Bacterial large subunit ribosomal RNA
Source: RNAcentral
AGCCAGGAUGUUGGCUUAGAAGCAGCCAUCAUUUAAAGAAAGCGUAAUAGCUCACUGGUCGAGUCGGCCUGCGCGGAAGAUGUAACGGGGCUAAACCAUGCACCGAAGCUGCGGCAGCGACGCUGAUGCGUUGUUGGGUAGGGGAGCGUUCUGUAAGCCUGCGAAGGUGUGCUGUGAGGCAUGCUGGAGGUAUCAGAAGUGCGAAUGCUGACAUAAGUAACGAUAAAGCGGGUGAAAAGCCCGCUCGCCGGAAGACCAAGGGUUCCUGUCCAACGUUAAUCGGGGCAGGGUGAGUCGACCCCUAAGGCGAGGCCGAAAGGCGUAGUCGAUGGGAAACAGGUUAAUAUUCCUGUACUUGGUGUUACUGCGAAGGGGGGACGGAGAAGGCUAUGUUGGCCGGGCGACGGUUGUCCCGGUUUAAGCGUGUAGGCUGGUUUUCCAGGCAAAUCCGGAAAAUCAAGGCUGAGGCGUGAUGACGAGGCACUGCGGUGCUGAAGCAACAAAUGCCCUGCUUCCAGGAAAAGCCUCUAAGCAUCAGGUAACAUCAAAUCGUACCCCAAACCGACACAGGUGGUCAGGUAGAGAAUACCAAGGCGCUUGAGAGAACUCGGGUGAAGGAACUAGGCAAAAUGGUGCCGUAACUUCGGGAGAAGGCACGCUGAUAUGUAGGUGAAGUCCCUCGCGGAUGGAGCUGAAAUCAGUCGAAGAUACCAGCUGGCUGCAACUGUUUAUUAAAAACACAGCACUGUGCAAACACGAAAGUGGACGUAUACGGUGUGACGCCUGCCCGGUGCCGGAAGGUUAAUUGAUGGGGUUAGCGCAAGCGAAGCUCUUGAUCGAAGCCCCGGUAAACGGCGGCCGUAACUAUAACGGUCCUAAGGUAGCGAAAUUCCUUGUCGGGUAAGUUCCGACCUGCACGAAUGGCGUAAUGAUGGCCAGGCUGUCUCCACCCGAGACUCAGUGAAAUUGAACUCGCUGUGAAGAUGCAGUGUACCCGCGGCAAGACGGAAAGACCCCGUGAACCUUUACUAUAGCUUGACACUGAACAUUGAGCCUUGAUGUGUAGGAUAGGUGGGAGGCUUUGAAGUGUGGACGCCAGUCUGCAUGGAGCCGACCUUGAAAUACCACCCUUUAAUGUUUGAUGUUCUAACGUUGACCCGUAAUCCGGGUUGCGGACAGUGUCUGGUGGGUAGUUUGACUGGGGCGGUCUCCUCCUAAAGAGUAACGGAGGAGCACGAAGGUUGGCUAAUCCUGGUCGGACAUCAGGAGGUUAGUGCAAUGGCAUAAGCCAGCUUGACUGCGAGCGUGACGGCGCGAGCAGGUGCGAAAGCAGGUCAUAGUGAUCCGGUGGUUCUGAAUGGAAGGGCCAUCGCUCAACGGAUAAAAGGUACUCCGGGGAUAACAGGCUGAUACCGCCCAAGAGUUCAUAUCGACGGCGGUGUUUGGCACCUCGAUGUCGGCUCAUCACAUCCUGGGGCUGAAGUAGGUCCCAAGGGUAUGGCUGUUCGCCAUUUAAAGUGGUACGCGAGCUGGGUUUAGAACGUCGUGAGACAGUUCGGUCCCUAUCUGCCGUGGGCGCUGGAGAACUGAGGGGGGCUGCUCCUAGUACGAGAGGACCGGAGUGGACGCAUCACUGGUGUUCGGGUUGUCAUGCCAAUGGCACUGCCCGGUAGCUAAAUGCGGAAGAGAUAAGUGCUGAAAGCAUCUAAGCACGAAACUUGCCCCGAGAUGAGUUCUCCCUGACUCCUUGAGAGUCCUGAAGGAACGUUGAAGACGACGACGUUGAUAGGCCGGGUGUGUAAGCGCAGCGAUGCGUUGAGCUAACCGGUACUAAUGAACCGUGAGG